Molecule: ribosomal RNA, 272 nt
Filed under: uncultured prokaryote
Description: partial 16S ribosomal RNA
Rfam family: Bacterial small subunit ribosomal RNA
Source: RNAcentral
UACGAAGGGUGCAAGCGUUACUCGGAAUUACUGGGCGUAAAGCGUGCGUAGGUGGUUCGUUAAGUCUGAUGUGAAAGCCCUGGGCUCAACCUGGGAACUGCAUUGGAUACUGGCGAUCUGGAGUGCGGUAGAGGGUGGCGGAAUUCCCGGUGUAGCAGUGAAAUGCGUAGAUAUCGGGAGGAACAUCCGUGGCGAAGGCGGCCACCUGGACCAGCACUGACACUGAGGCACGAAAGCGUGGGGAGCAAACAGGAUUAGAAACCCGAUAGUCC